GAGAAAGUCUUAGAUCUUUGAUUUCAGCCAAAGUCCUUAUUGGCAAGUCAUGCCACUCGGCCACCAUCUUGGCAAUGUCUCUUGCCAGCUAUUUUGGGCUGACAAGACCAGGCUCCUAUCUUUAAUAUUUAAUAUUUUGCUACUUUUCCUAGGAGUCCUACAAAUUGGCUCAUGUUAGCUGUUAAGUUACAUAUGCAAUACAUACUCUUAUAGCUUAGAAUAUGGAUACAAACCCAGACAGAAACAUUCUGUUUUUCAGGAAGAUUUAUGAAGGAACUGCUCUUUGAGAAAGCUACAUAUAAAUGCUAACCCAGAUGUGGGGUGGGACUUAAGCUCUCUGUAGCUGAGCACAGGAUGCAGUUGGAGGCAGAAUGUUUCUGUUUGAUAUACCUAGAAUGUCUCAAGAAUGUAUAUGACGAUUGACAGCCAAGCAUCUAUUCCUUUUCCCUUUUUUCUCCCACUUCUGAAGAACAUUUUGAAAAGCUCAAUUUUCAGUGGUGAAAAAAGUCAAUUUCAUUGGUGUGGCAGAAAGGCCAACUAAGAGAAAAAGAUGGUCUUUGAAAUCAUACACAUCAGUGAAGACAUUAGUAUUUUCGCAAGUCACGCUACUCCCAAGUCGUGCAGACAGCUCUGUUACUGCUUUUAUAAGGACAAGCUGGAAAGGUCAGCAGUGGCUUUCCACUGCUCUACCUCUCUUUAAUCACUCUAGAAGAAACAUAAGUCUACAUGGUCUGUAACGUAAGUUAACAGAGUCGGAAACAGAAACCACCACGGCUGAGAUGCCAGCUUAUCAAUCCACCAAAUUCACAAACAAGACUGGAUACAUUUUGAGCCCCUAACUCGUUCUGGUAAGUACAUCCAUACAUUAACUAUUUUUUUUAGAGAGUUCAUUCAUUUGUUUUUCUCGGUCACUUUAUCACAGGAAGAU
Long non-coding RNA from Micropterus dolomieu (smallmouth bass), 928 nucleotides. RefSeq lists it as uncharacterized. The transcript is spliced from 3 exons. NCBI's taxonomy places the organism in Eukaryota, Metazoa, Chordata, Actinopteri, Centrarchiformes, Centrarchidae. The record is from RefSeq and is a predicted model, not a curated record.